GGUCCUAAGGAAGCUCGGAGUGCUUCGUUUGAAGGAUUUGGACGUCGGGAUCACGAACUAUUACGUGAAAAAUGGACGUAAGAACAAGGAGAAUGACAAGUUCAAAGUUUGGCCGGAGCUUUCGAGGCUUUUUCCGGCGAAUCCACGGCGAGUUAGGGGUCAAGGCAGAAAUUCCGGCAAAACACCAACUCCGGCGAAACCAGUCCGGCGACGCGAGGAAGAAGACG
Long non-coding RNA from Pyrus x bretschneideri (Chinese white pear), 227 nucleotides. RefSeq lists it as uncharacterized. NCBI's taxonomy places the organism in Eukaryota, Viridiplantae, Streptophyta, Magnoliopsida, Rosales, Rosaceae. The record is from RefSeq and is a predicted model, not a curated record. The transcript has 3 exons.